RNAcentral lists this transfer RNA (76 nucleotides) under Ictidomys tridecemlineatus (thirteen-lined ground squirrel). Its description in RNAcentral is "Spermophilus tridecemlineatus (thirteen-lined ground squirrel) tRNA". It matches the Rfam family "tRNA". Rfam says of the family: Transfer RNA (tRNA) molecules are approximately 80 nucleotides in length. Lineage: Eukaryota; Metazoa; Chordata; Mammalia; Rodentia; Sciuridae. The record is from Rfam by way of RNAcentral.
UGGGUUGUGGCUCAGUGGUAGAGCACUUGCCUAGCAUGUAUAAGGAAGGCCCUGGGUUCAAACCUCAGCACUACAU